Molecule: ribosomal RNA, 534 nt
Filed under: uncultured archaeon
Lineage: Archaea
Description: bacterial SSU rRNA
Rfam family: Archaeal small subunit ribosomal RNA
Source: RNAcentral
AACCUUUACAAUGCACGAAAGUGUGAUAGGGGGACCCCAAGUGCUCAUGCAUUGCAUGGGCUUUUGCCAAGUCAAAAUUGCUUGGAGAAUAAGUGGUGGGAAAGACUGGUGCCAGCAGCCGCGGUAACACCAGCGCCACGAGUGGGAACCAUUUUUAUUUGGCCUAAAGCGUCCGUAGCAGGUUUAAUAACUCUCUUGUGAAAUCAUCCAGCUUAACUGAAUGGCGUGCAGGAGAAACUGUUAAACUAGGAAUCGGGAGGAGUCAGAAGUAUUCUUGGGGGAGCGGUAAAAUGUGAUAAUCCCAAGAGGACUACCUGUGGCGAAGGCGUCUGACUAGAACGAAUUCGACUGUGAGGGACGAAAGCUAGGGGAGCGAUCCGGAUUAGAUACCCGAGUAGUCCUAGCCGUAAACGCUGCGAGCCAGGCGUUGCAUAUUCCACGUGAAUGUGCAGUGUCGAAACGAAGGUGAUAAGCUCGCCGCCUGGGAAGUAUGGUCGCAAGACUGAAACUUAAAGGAAUUGGCGGGGGAGCACC